UAUUUCUCUCCAUUUCCCAAUAUGUAUAGCGCAAAAGUUAGGGCUUAGGAGGUUUCAUCUUCGUAUUGUGAACAGCAAUGGCUGAGGAAACAGGAACAAAAACAGAAAUGAAGCCAUGGGAACAACACUCAAAAGUGAUUCGCAUUCCUCGUUUUGAUUACAACGCACCUUCAUCUAUUCUUCAACAUUCGUACUCUGGCUUCCUCAUCACCUGCCCUAUAAAGAGGGAGAAAAGCGCCACCAAAGAAGCCAUCUCUAUUCUUCAAAAGUAUCUUGGAUCCUGCUACUGUAACAGUUCUGGAAGUCUGGACAGCUCAGAUACAAAUGGUGACACUAAGAGAAGGAAAAUCUACAGAGAUGAUACAAGUGAGAAAUGUGCCAAUGUUGUGGAAAGUGGGGGAACUAAAGAGGAUGCAGGUGGACUUCCAAAGGAUGAUUGUAUUCCUGAUUCAAAAAUAGAUUCAAAUACAGAAAAUGAUUUUGAUAUGUCUCUAGUGAAGCUAACUAGAAGUGGUUUGCUUCUCUUUACCUUCCCAAGGGAAAAAUCUUCUAACGUUGUUAGUGUUGUGUCAAACAUUGUUCAAUCUAUUGACUCUGGUAGUUUAAAGUCACCACUUUGGUGUCAUAGAAUUUUUCCUAUCCAAUCUACUUGUAUUUUGAAGGAGACAGACCUUCAGGCAACUGUAUCAAAGUUGGUUCGUAAAUUUGUGAUUGAUGAACAAAAUAAACUCUCCCACCCCGUUAAGUUUGCAGUGGGAUAUAACCGAAGAGGAUGUGAAGAGACACAGAUGAAGACUACAAAGGAUGCUUUAAAUGGUUCUAAUCUCUUUGCUCUGUUGGAUCGCAACAAAUGCUUCAAUGUAGUGGCUGCUGCAGUUAAAGAUGUUGUAUCAGAUUCAGAAGUUGACCUCAAAUCUCCAGAGCUUUCUAUUCUUGUAGAGUUGCUCCCCGUUGCUGUACCACCUACCGAGCCAUUAGUUGUUGCUGUCUCUGUUCUUCCUCAUAACAUUGUGACGACAAAGCCUCGGCUAUGCAUCAGGGCAUUGGCCUCCAAUAUGUAUUCAAAGAAUGAAAGGACUUGAAAGAAAUCAAUAUGUGAGAAAAUUUUACUUGACGAAGAAUCAAGGCAUUGACAAGAGGUCCAAGGUCCAUAUUUCGCUCCCUCUCUUCCAUGGGCGUUCAUAUGACCGGCUAGAGCUUCAACAGAUCUUAGUUCUCUUUUGCAAAAGCUACAUGUGUAAGAUCUUGGUGGCCAUGAAAUCCUAUUAAGAUAUUCGUCUCUAUUGCUGUUGUUGUUGUUGUUGUUGUCUUAAAGGAUUUUACUUCCAAUUUUCUGGUUUUUAGAGUUGUUGCUUUGCACCGUUGUUAUGACAUUGUUGGUCUUCCUUCAUUUAUGCUACGUGGACACAUCACUUCUCCCUCUUCUUGAUCA
RNA transcript from Mangifera indica (mango), 1432 nucleotides. RefSeq lists it as uncharacterized. Lineage: Eukaryota; Viridiplantae; Streptophyta; Magnoliopsida; Sapindales; Anacardiaceae. The record is from RefSeq and is a predicted model, not a curated record. The transcript has 8 exons.